AGGGGUAUAGCCAAGUUGGUAAGGCAUCGGGUUUUGAUCCCGACAUUCGCAAGUUCGAGUCUUGCUACCCCUUCCA
This 76-nucleotide transfer RNA is filed under the name Acidobacteriota bacterium. RNAcentral describes it as "Acidobacteria bacterium tRNA-Gln". It matches the Rfam family "tRNA". From Rfam's summary of the family: Transfer RNA (tRNA) molecules are approximately 80 nucleotides in length. Their secondary structure includes four short double-helical elements and three loops (D, anti-codon, and T loops). Further hydrogen bonds mediate the characteristic L-shaped molecular structure. tRNAs have two regions of fundamental functional importance: the anti-codon, which is responsible for specific mRNA codon recognition, and the 3' end, to which the tRNAs corresponding amino acid is attached (by aminoacyl-tRNA synthetases). tRNAs cope with the degeneracy of the genetic code in two manners: having more than one tRNA (with a specific anti-codon) for a particular amino acid; and 'wobble' base-pairing, i.e. permitting non-standard base-pairing at the 3rd anti-codon position. Lineage: Bacteria; Pseudomonadati; Acidobacteriota. The record is from RNAcentral.